AUAUCUCUCCGUACGGGAAGGAUGAGAAGCUUCGAUUAAGGUUCGAUUCGAGCGCAGCGAGAAAGCGUUGCCGCAGGCA
RNAcentral lists this small RNA (79 nucleotides) under Salmonella enterica. Its description in RNAcentral is "partial RtT sRNA". It matches the Rfam family "RtT RNA", at positions 1 to 78 of the family's 130-position model. Rfam says of the family: This family represents a bacterial cis-regulatory element known as RtT RNA. The exact function of RtT is unknown although it is thought that it may be involved in changing the cellular response in relation to amino acid starvation. The record is from RNAcentral. Lineage: Bacteria; Pseudomonadati; Pseudomonadota; Gammaproteobacteria; Enterobacterales; Enterobacteriaceae. RNAcentral also lists the same sequence under 1 other name.